Mytilus californianus (California mussel) is the source of this 381-nucleotide long non-coding RNA. RefSeq lists it as uncharacterized. NCBI's taxonomy places the organism in Eukaryota, Metazoa, Mollusca, Bivalvia, Mytilida, Mytilidae. The record is from RefSeq and is a predicted model, not a curated record. The transcript is spliced from 3 exons.
UGUGUUGACUCAAACAAGAGAAUUUGGUUAUUACUGUUGUGGUUUUGUGUAUGAGUGGAAGUUUCACACCGCUUCAACAGGAACAUUUGAUGCGCAGGUGUGGAGAAGUCAAUCGAACGACGUUUACCUAUUGGUGGGAUCUAAUUCGUUAACAUCGACAAAUCCUGGAACAGAAGAAAUUCGUACUAUUACCAACGGACAGAGAAUCAGAGUAAUGAAAAAGGAUUAUCUUGGAAUACAUUCAACUGGAGGAUCUGUCGUUACUUAUGUAAACGAAGGAACAGAAACCAUUAGGAGGCUAAAUAAUAUAAUAACAGCAAUCGGUGUGUCGACUACACUUGAUACUUCCGGUGCAGCAGUAUCGAACUCAGACUAUGCCAU